GUGGCGUAGUAAGUUGAAAAAAUUUCAAACAGCAAACUAUUGUUGACUCAGUCACUAAAGCCGAGUAUAUUGUUGCUAGUGAGGCUGCUAAGGAGGCCAUCUAGAUAAAGAAGUUCAUCUCAGAGUUGGGUGUGGUUUCUGAAAUUGAAUAACCAGUGCCUCUUUACUGUGACAAUACUAGGACAAUUGCUCAAGCUAAGGAACCAAGGUCUUAUCACAAAUCCAAACACAUCCUAAGGUAGUUCCAUCUCAUUCGAGAGAUAGUCGA
RNAcentral lists this long non-coding RNA (268 nucleotides) under Elaeis guineensis (African oil palm). Its description in RNAcentral is "long non-coding RNA (EGUI_LNC052462)". The record is from RNAcentral. Lineage: Eukaryota; Viridiplantae; Streptophyta; Magnoliopsida; Arecales; Arecaceae.